This 78-nucleotide transfer RNA is filed under the name Ailuropoda melanoleuca (giant panda). It matches the Rfam family "tRNA". Rfam says of the family: Transfer RNA (tRNA) molecules are approximately 80 nucleotides in length. Their secondary structure includes four short double-helical elements and three loops (D, anti-codon, and T loops). Further hydrogen bonds mediate the characteristic L-shaped molecular structure. tRNAs have two regions of fundamental functional importance: the anti-codon, which is responsible for specific mRNA codon recognition, and the 3' end, to which the tRNAs corresponding amino acid is attached (by aminoacyl-tRNA synthetases). tRNAs cope with the degeneracy of the genetic code in two manners: having more than one tRNA (with a specific anti-codon) for a particular amino acid; and 'wobble' base-pairing, i.e. permitting non-standard base-pairing at the 3rd anti-codon position. The record is from Rfam by way of RNAcentral. Lineage: Eukaryota; Metazoa; Chordata; Mammalia; Carnivora; Ursidae.
GCCUGAAUGGCUUAGUUAGUUAAAGUGUCAGACUCUUGAUUUCAGCUCAGGUCAUGAGAUCGAGCCCCAUGUCAGGCU